CACGUAGUUAGCCGUGACUUUCUAGUUGGAUACCGUCACUGCGUGAACAGUUACUCUCACGCACGUUCUUCUCCAACAACAGAGCUUUACGAGCCGAAACCCUUCUUCACUCACGCGGUGUUGCUCCGUCAGGCUUGCGCCCAUUGUGGAAGAUUCCCUACUGCUGCCUCCCGUAGGAGUAUGGACCGUGUCUCAGUUCCAUUGUGGCCGAUCAGUCUCUCAACUCGGCUAUGCAUCAUCGCCUUGGUAAGCCGUUACCUUACCAACUAGCUAAUGCACCGCGGGCCCAUCCUGAAGUGAUAGCCGAAACCAUCUUUAGAAACGAAAACCAUGUGGUUUUCGUUGUUAUGCGGUAUUAGCACCUGUUUCCAGUAUGUUACUCCCCCACUUCAGGGCAGGUUCGCCCAGUUCGUUACUCACCCGUCCGCCGCUCACGUGGGACUCCACGUCAAUUCAGUGACAGCACGUCAGUAUCGAGUUGGCCAGUCGCGCUCGACUUGAC
RNAcentral lists this ribosomal RNA (502 nucleotides) under uncultured Lactobacillus sp. RNAcentral's name for it is "partial 16S ribosomal RNA". Lineage: Bacteria; Bacillati; Bacillota; Bacilli; Lactobacillales; Lactobacillaceae. The record is from RNAcentral.